GAUGAAGAACGUAGCGAAAUGCGAUACGUAAUGUGAAUUGCAGAAUUCAGUGAAUCAUCGAAUCUUUGAACGCACAUUGCGCCUGCCAGCACUCUGGCAGGCAUGCCUGUUCGAGCGUCAUUUCAACCAUCAAGCCCUAGGCUUGCGUUGGAGCCCUGCGGCUGCCGCAGGCCCCUAAAAGCAGUGGCGGGCUCGCUAUCACACCGAGUGCAGUAGAUUACUCUUCGCUCAGGGCGUGUGGCGGGUUCCAGCCGUGAAACCCCCUACUUCUCAAGGUUGACCUCGGAUCAGGUAGGAAUACCCGCUGAACUUAAGCAUAUCAAUAAGCGGAGA
RNAcentral lists this unclassified non-coding RNA (333 nucleotides) under soil metagenome. RNAcentral describes it as "partial contains 5.8S ribosomal RNA, internal transcribed spacer 2, and large subunit ribosomal RNA". The stretch from base 1 to 120 matches the Rfam family "5.8S ribosomal RNA", at positions 35 to 154 of the family's 154-position model. The record is from RNAcentral.